UAUGAUGGUCGAAUGGAUUCAAAUAGGUACAUGCAGCCUCAGAGCACAGGAGGUGGCUUUCCUCCUUAUGGUUCAUCUGGUUAUAGUGCACCUGGUUAUGGAUACAGUCCUGCCAAUAAUAGUGUUGGAUAUGGUGGUUACGGUAGUUAUGGUGGUGCCAGUGCUGGCUAUGGCGGACCUGCUGGUGCUGCGUAUGGGAAUCCUAAUGUCCCAAGUCCUGGGUAUGCAAGCGGCCCACCUGGUGCCCCUAGAAGCUCAUG
Molecule: unclassified non-coding RNA, 260 nt
Filed under: Hevea brasiliensis (rubber tree)
Lineage: Eukaryota; Viridiplantae; Streptophyta; Magnoliopsida; Malpighiales; Euphorbiaceae
Source: RNAcentral